UACAGAGGGCUCAAGCGUUAAUCGGAAUCACUGGGCUUAAAGGGUCCGCAGGCGGAUUGGCAAGUACCUUGUGAAAUACCACGGCUCAACCGUGGAACUGCUGGGUAAACUGCCAAUCUUGAACACGACAGGGGCUACCAGAACUCUAGGUGGAGCGGUGAAAUGCGUAGAUAUCUAGAGGAAUGCCAGAGGCGAAGGCG
RNAcentral lists this ribosomal RNA (200 nucleotides) under uncultured bacterium. Its description in RNAcentral is "partial 16S ribosomal RNA". It matches the Rfam family "Bacterial small subunit ribosomal RNA", at positions 524 to 723 of the family's 1533-position model. The record is from RNAcentral.